AUUUUGACUAUACUUUUGGGACUUAAUUAUAAAUUAUCCUUAAAGCAAUGGUUUUACUUAAUCUACACAUUGGUUGAUUGCAGUAAAAUAACAAUAAUAAUAUGUAUGGAUGUAUGUACUGGGGAGGGAAAAAAAUGGAGAAAAUAAUUUGAUGGGCCCUUUCCUAAGCCAUAGAUUAGGGAUCAUGCAUGAACUUGUACCAACCAAUCAUGUGACGUUAGGUUAACAGAUAAGAAAAAGUGGGUAGAGACCAAAAUGUUGAACAUGGUAUGUUUUUAAUGGUUGACCAACAGUAACAGGAGUCCAAAUUGGAGUAAUAUUUUUAC
RNAcentral lists this unclassified non-coding RNA (326 nucleotides) under Hevea brasiliensis (rubber tree). Lineage: Eukaryota; Viridiplantae; Streptophyta; Magnoliopsida; Malpighiales; Euphorbiaceae. The record is from RNAcentral.